This 497-nucleotide ribosomal RNA is filed under the name uncultured bacterium. RNAcentral's name for it is "partial 16S ribosomal RNA". It matches the Rfam family "Bacterial small subunit ribosomal RNA", at positions 28 to 507 of the family's 1533-position model. The record is from RNAcentral.
GAUGAACGCUGGCGGCGUGCCUAAUACAUGCAAGUCGAGCGAACAGACGAGGAGCUUGCUCCUCUGACGUUAGCGGCGGACGGGUGAGUAACACGUGGAUAACCUACCUAUAAGACUGGGAUAACUUCGGGAAACCGGAGCCAAUACCGGAUAAUAUAUUGAACCGCAUGGUUCAAUAGUGAAAGACGGUUUUGCUGUCACUUAUAGAUGGAUCCGCGCCGCAUUAGCUAGUUGGUAAGGUAACGGCUUACCAAGGCAACGAUGCGUAGCCGACCGGAGAGGGUGAUCGGCCACACUGGAACUGAGACACGGUCCAGACUCCUACGGGAGGCAGCAGUAGGGAAUCUUCCGCAAUGGGCGAAAGCCUGACGGAGCAACGCCGCGUGAGUGAUGAAGGUCUUCGGAUCGUAAAACUCUGUUAUUAGGGAAGAACAAAUGUGUAAGUAACUAUGCACGUCUUGACGGUACCUAAUCAGAAAGCCACGGCUAACUACGUG